This 793-nucleotide ribosomal RNA is filed under the name Vibrio parahaemolyticus S174. Its description in RNAcentral is "bacterial SSU rRNA". It matches the Rfam family "Bacterial small subunit ribosomal RNA", at positions 331 to 1116 of the family's 1533-position model. Lineage: Bacteria; Pseudomonadati; Pseudomonadota; Gammaproteobacteria; Vibrionales; Vibrionaceae. The record is from RNAcentral.
CCAGACUCCUACGGGAGGCAGCAGUGGGGAAUAUUGCACAAUGGGCGCAAGCCUGAUGCAGCCAUGCCGCGUGUGUGAAGAAGGCCUUCGGGUUGUAAAGCACUUUCAGUCGUGAGGAAGGUAGUGUAGUUAAUAGCUGCAUUAUUUGACGUUAGCGACAGAAGAAGCACCGGCUAACUCCGUGCCAGCAGCCGCGGUAAUACGGAGGGUGCGAGCGUUAAUCGGAAUUACUGGGCGUAAAGCGCAUGCAGGUGGUUUGUUAAGUCAGAUGUGAAAGCCCGGGGCUCAACCUCGGAAUUGCAUUUGAAACUGGCAGACUAGAGUACUGUAGAGGGGGGUAGAAUUUCAGGUGUAGCGGUGAAAUGCGUAGAGAUCUGAAGGAAUACCGGUGGCGAAGGCGGCCCCCUGGACAGAUACUGACACUCAGAUGCGAAAGCGUGGGGAGCAAACAGGAUUAGAUACCCUGGUAGUCCACGCCGUAAACGAUGUCUACUUGGAGGUUGUGGCCUUGAGCCGUGGCUUUCGGAGCUAACGCGUUAAGUAGACCGCCUGGGGAGUACGGUCGCAAGAUUAAAACUCAAAUGAAUUGACGGGGGCCCGCACAAGCGGUGGAGCAUGUGGUUUAAUUCGAUGCAACGCGAAGAACCUUACCUACUCUUGACAUCCAGAGAACUUUCCAGAGAUGGAUUGGUGCCUUCGGGAACUCUGAGACAGGUGCUGCAUGGCUGUCGUCAGCUCGUGUUGUGAAAUGUUGGGUUAAGUCCCGCAACGAGCGCAACCCUUAUCCUUGUUU